GGGCCGGUAGCGCAGUUGGCUAGCGCGUCUGCAUGGCAUGCAGAAGGUCAGGGGUUCGACUCCCCUCCGGUCCA
RNAcentral lists this transfer RNA (74 nucleotides) under Candidatus Woesebacteria bacterium. RNAcentral describes it as "tRNA-Ala". It matches the Rfam family "tRNA". From Rfam's summary of the family: Transfer RNA (tRNA) molecules are approximately 80 nucleotides in length. The record is from RNAcentral. Lineage: Bacteria; Candidatus Woeseibacteriota.